This 78-nucleotide small RNA is filed under the name Marmota monax (woodchuck). The record is from RNAcentral. Lineage: Eukaryota; Metazoa; Chordata; Mammalia; Rodentia; Sciuridae.
GCUGGGUGUGGUGGUGCACACCUGUAAUCCCAGCAACUUGGGGGCUUCCCGACAGCCACAAGACCCCAUCCCAGGAUU